GGCAAGGAGCACCAUGCUUGGCACAUGGAAAGAGCUUAGUAAAUAGUAGCUACUCUUAUUAGUCUGUUGUGGAGCUAAUUGGGAAUGAACAUGACUUAUUCACACAGUGAGGAGUGCUCAACCAGCCUGUCUUGUUAGUCUCUUUGUUAACCACCUUGCAACUGGAAUUUUUCUCUUUUGCCCUUCAAAUGCAUCUAAUCUGAGGAUUCCCUCCAGCCUCCUGCUGGCUGCAAAAAUCCAGCAGGAAUCUGCUUCUGCAGGGGCUGGCUUCCCAUCUGGCUGGAAUCACCCGCCAGCCACCCACAGCACGAGCACCUCACAAAUUAGGGAGAUCAGGAGCAGCCACUUCAGACAGUUCGCAGGCCGCAGGGUGCCGAUUGGUGGCAGAACCACUUGCUGAAGCUGAAAUUAACAGGUUUCUUGGGUUGAAGGCUUUAAUUAAAAAAUGCUAGGGAAUUAUUUCCUUAAUUCAGAGACUUCUUAGUAAUCACUUUCCCCUGCUUUGCCCUGAGACUCUUUAUCUUCAGCUAGAUUAAUAGAUGGUCUCAACAGCCUGAGCACAGGACCUGAGGCUGGAGUUUUGGGUUGUCAAAUGAGGUGGGUGCUCUUCAAGGCUCCGUUCUGGGGUUCCAGACCUCUUCAGGCUGCGUGUUGCCUUCGGUCCCCUGAAUUAGGUGAAUGGCUUAGCUGACUCGGGCUGCCAUUACAGAACGCCUUAGACUGGCGGCUGAAAUAACAGAAAUUGGUUCCCUCACAGUUCUGGAGGUUGGAAGUCUAAGAUCAAAGAGCUGCCUUGCUGACAAAUAGAUAAUAAUGAUCUGUAAACAAACAUGUAUGUGCACCAGGGGAGCCGCUCUUGAAAAGAACUCUGCGUGGCAGGAGGGAGGCAGGAAGAAAAGCAGUGAAGUCACUCAGACCUUGGUUAGAAUCCCGGCUCUGCACUUCCUCAAAUAGUGCCAUCCGAUAGGGACGUUCAGGAAUUCAGGAUGACGGACUCUCUGACCUCCCACCCAUAGUCACUCCAGUUAUCCCCAGCGCAGUCAGCUGGAAAGGGAAAACAGCACAAUUCCAAGGCUAAGGGUUUUAUCUUAAG
Molecule: long non-coding RNA, 1093 nt
Organism: Bos taurus (domestic cattle)
Lineage: Eukaryota; Metazoa; Chordata; Mammalia; Artiodactyla; Bovidae
Source: Ensembl